UGGGAACGAGAAGACGCUCGUGGAGGCGUC
This 30-nucleotide non-coding RNA is filed under the name Homo sapiens (human). Lineage: Eukaryota; Metazoa; Chordata; Mammalia; Primates; Hominidae. The record is from RNAcentral.